AGAGUUUGAUCAUGGCUCAGGAUGAACGCUAGCUACAGGCUUAACACAUGCAAGUCGAGGGGAAACGACAUCGAAAGCUUGCUUUUGAUGGGCGUCGACCGGCGCACGGGUGAGUAACGCGUAUCCAACCUGCCCACCACUUGGGGAUAACCUUGCGAAAGUAAGACUAAUACCCAAUGACGUCUCUAGAAGACAUCUGAAAGAGAUUAAAGAUUUAUCGGUGAUGGAUGGGGAUGCGUCUGAUUAGCUUGUUGGCGGGGUAACGGCCACCAAGGCGACGAUCGAGUAGGGGUUCUGAGAGGAACGGUCCCCCANAUUGGAACUGAGACACGGUCCAAACUCCGUACGGGAGGACA
This 356-nucleotide ribosomal RNA is filed under the name uncultured bacterium. Its description in RNAcentral is "bacterial SSU rRNA". It matches the Rfam family "Bacterial small subunit ribosomal RNA", at positions 8 to 350 of the family's 1533-position model. The record is from RNAcentral.